CCCUUAGAGUUUGAUCCUGGCUCAGAUUGAACGCUGGCGGCAUGCCUUACACAUGCAAGUCGAACGGUAACAGGGAGCUUGCUCCGCUGACGAGUGGCGAACGGGUGAGUAAUACAUCGGAACGUGCCCAGUAAUGGGGGAUAGCUCGGCGAAAGCCGGAUUAAUACCGCAUACGCCCUGAGGGGGAAAGUGGGGGACCGCAAGGCCUCACGUUAUUGGAGCGGCCGAUGGCUGAUUAGCUAGUUGGUAGGGUAAAGGCCUACCAAGGCGACGAUCAGUAGCUGGUCUGAGAGGACGAUCAGCCACACUGGGACUGAGACACGGCCCAGACUCCUACGGGAGGCAGCAGUGGGGAAUUUUGGACAAUGGGGGAAACCCUGAUCCAGCAAUGCCGCGUGUGCGAAGAAGGCCUUCGGGUUGUAAAGCACUUUUGUCAGGGAAGAAAUCUUUUGGGCUAAUACCCUAGGGGGAUGACGGUACCUGAAGAAUAAGCACCGGCUAACUACGUGCCAGCAGCCGCGGUAAUACGUAGGGUGCAAGCGUUAAUCGGAAUUACUGGGCGUAAAGCGUGCGCAGGCGGUUGUGUAAGACAGGUGUGAAAUCCCCGGGCUUAACCUGGGAAUUGCAUUUGUGACUGCACGACUAGAGUGUGUCAGAGGGGGGGUGGAAUUCCACGUGUAGCAGUGAAAUGCGUAGAUAUGUGGAGGAACACCAAUGGCGAAGGCAGCCCCCUGGGAUAACACUGACGCUCAUGCACGAAAGCGUG
This 766-nucleotide ribosomal RNA is filed under the name uncultured bacterium. Its description in RNAcentral is "bacterial SSU rRNA". It matches the Rfam family "Bacterial small subunit ribosomal RNA", at positions 1 to 763 of the family's 1533-position model. The record is from RNAcentral.